GAUGAACGCUGACAGAAUGCUUAACACAUGCAAGUCAACUUGAAUUUGGGUUUUUAACUUAGGUUUGGGUGGCGGACGGGUGAGUAACGCGUAAAGAACUUGCCUCACAGCUAGGGACAACAUUUGGAAACGAAUGCUAAUACCUAAUAUUAUGAUAAUAGGGCAUCCUAUAAUUAUGAAAGCUAUAAGCGCUGUGAGGGAGCUUUGCGUCCCAUUAGCUAGUUGGAGAGGUAACGGCUCACCAAGGCGAUGAUGGGUAGCCGGCCUGAGAGGGUGAUCGGCCACAAGGGGACUGAGACACGGCCCUUACUCCUACGGGAGGCAGCAGUGGGGAAUAUUGGACAAUGGACCGAGAGUCUGAUCCAGCAAUUCUGUGUGCACGAUGAAGUUUUUCGGAAUGUAAAGUGCUUUCAGUUGGGAAGAAACAAAUGACGGUACCAACAGAAGAAGUGACGGCUAAAUACGUG
Molecule: ribosomal RNA, 467 nt
Filed under: uncultured bacterium
Lineage: Bacteria
Description: partial 16S ribosomal RNA
Rfam family: Bacterial small subunit ribosomal RNA
Source: RNAcentral